Gallus gallus (chicken) is the source of this 1485-nucleotide long non-coding RNA. NCBI's taxonomy places the organism in Eukaryota, Metazoa, Chordata, Aves, Galliformes, Phasianidae. The record is from Ensembl.
AUGUGGCUAAAUUGAAAAGGAAGAAAUGGACAAAAAAUAAAACAAGACACGUGGGAUUAAAUGGCAGAGUUCAAGAGGUUAUGCAAACCGUGCUGGUAUGCAACAGAAUAUGGAAAUCUGAAGCUAGUGCAGCUGAAAGAAACAGCAUAAACAAACAGCACACGGUGGAACACUUUGCAGUGCAUCAGCAAGCUCUCCUAUCUGCCAGAGGUUCUCCUCUAACACGGACUGUGCUCCGUCACCUGCCCUGUUUGCUGCUUCACGGUGCUGCACUGCUGGGUAUCCAGAGAAGGAAUCUGUGGGGGUCCAUGUGUGGGAGAUGCAAAAAUGAGCCCUGGAAAUACCUAGACAAAAACAGGAUCCAAAACUUCAUCCAAGAAAAGACUUUGGGAGCUGGAGGCUUAAAUCACGAUGACUCGAUCCUCAACUUCCUAAGGCUGCUUUUAAAACCUCAGCCCAAACUUCAGCCAGCCAAUACCAGCUUAGCACUGUGGGGGUUCUUUCAAUGCUCAGGACUAAGUGAUAACAAGACUACAGAGACUACAGAGGCAGGAACACUGUUUUUGGCAAAACAGAGAUGUUCUGCUUCAGCCCGUGUGUUGUAGCCUGUUGUGCACAACAUAAAUUUCAGCGUGGAGCAGAAUCUCCUUCCCUAGAGACCAGAGACCAAGUCACCACCCUGUUCCUGGUCACAGCACUCUCUCUGAGCCUGAGUCAGUGCAGUUUGUGGUUUGAGAUCUGGCAUGGGUAAGAAGAUAAGAGCAUUACAGCCUACCUCAGAGAGGCAUGUAUGAGCUGAGGAAAACACAGGUACAAAUAUUUUCAUGCUAGAGUUGGUAUGGAAACAAGGUGUUCCAAGUCUUGCUGGGAUAGAAGAACACCUCAAGCAAUGAAGAUGAAGAGAUCUAUACUGUAAGCUUUGAAUCAUAGAAUCAUAUAAUCAUUAAAGUUGGAAAGACCACUAAAGACCAUCCAGUCCAACCAUCAGCCCAUGACUGUGACUGCUCUAGACCAUGUCCCUCAGUGCCACAUUUACCCCUUCCUUGAACACCUCCAGGGACGGUGACUCCACCACCUCGCUGGGCAGCCUGUGCCACUGCCUCACCACUUUCUGAGAAAAAAUGGUUCUUAAUAUCCAACCUGAACUUCUCUGACACAACUUGAGGCCAUUCCCUCUCAUCCUAUCACUGUUAUGUGUGAGAAGAGGCUGACCCCCACCUCACCGCAAUCUCCUUUCAGGUAGUUGUAGGAAGUAACGAGAUCUCCCUUGAGCCUCCUCUUGCUGUCCAGGCAAAUGUAGGGCCAGUUGAAGUCCAAAAACACCCAGUUGUACAAAAAGCACAUCAGUUACGUCUUCUGCAUACAGCAGCACAAUUUAUACACAUACUAAACCACAAAAUGUUUUGAUGAUUAUUUGGGGAUAUGAGAGGAAGGAAAAAUGAAGAGGGAAGGGUGUGGGCUUUUUAAAAUCAAUAUGCCUAUUAG